CCUAUAGCGCAAUUGGAUAGAGCGUUGGACUUCGAAUCCAGAGGCUGUGAGUUCGAUUCUCACUAGGU
Molecule: transfer RNA, 68 nt
Filed under: uncultured Clostridium sp.
Lineage: Bacteria; Bacillati; Bacillota; Clostridia; Eubacteriales; Clostridiaceae
Rfam family: tRNA
About the family: Transfer RNA (tRNA) molecules are approximately 80 nucleotides in length. Their secondary structure includes four short double-helical elements and three loops (D, anti-codon, and T loops). Further hydrogen bonds mediate the characteristic L-shaped molecular structure. tRNAs have two regions of fundamental functional importance: the anti-codon, which is responsible for specific mRNA codon recognition, and the 3' end, to which the tRNAs corresponding amino acid is attached (by aminoacyl-tRNA synthetases). tRNAs cope with the degeneracy of the genetic code in two manners: having more than one tRNA (with a specific anti-codon) for a particular amino acid; and 'wobble' base-pairing, i.e. permitting non-standard base-pairing at the 3rd anti-codon position.
Source: RNAcentral